This is a long non-coding RNA of Gossypium arboreum, 609 nucleotides long. RefSeq lists it as uncharacterized. NCBI's taxonomy places the organism in Eukaryota, Viridiplantae, Streptophyta, Magnoliopsida, Malvales, Malvaceae. The transcript is spliced from 2 exons. The record is from RefSeq and is a predicted model, not a curated record.
AAAAGGUUUUCUCCCCACCCUUUUACACGAUGUCGUUUCAUUAGCAGGUCAUUUAAGACCUUCCCCUUCCUAAAUCCAUUUUCUAAACGCAGCCCUCACUUCACCAAAAUUCACAGCCCUAAAAAUCAAUUUGUUUGGGCAUAUUUCAGCAGCCACCGAGUACACCACUUCAUCAGGUGGUCGAUGGCACUCCAGCGACGAUCGAUGGCCCAGCGACGAUCGAUGAUGCCUUUGGGCCCUUCCAACUUCGACUUUCAGCGAAGAGGAUAAAAAUCCAUGGCUGAUUUGCAAGGUUCGAUUGUACGGAAGAGAACGCUUGUGGAUGAGGCUCGGAGACUGCGGAAUUGCUCAUGCGAGCCCGAUCCCCUGGCGUUGUUCUGGCACGUUCCAGAAGCUUCUGGCUUGUGUAAGCUUGGUAACUUAAGGUUUCAUGAAUAUUUUUCUGUUUUGGGUCAGGAUUUGGGCUAGGGGUUUAUUUUAUUGUGGGCUAAAUUAUUGGACUUGUAACAGGGACAUUGGACCUAAUUAUUUUUGUUUUAUUUUGGUUUUGGUUCUAGUGUAAGCCCGGGCAAAAAUGGGCCAUUACAGCCUUCAAAGACACUCAAACAA